This 74-nucleotide transfer RNA is filed under the name Nitrososphaeria archaeon. Its description in RNAcentral is "tRNA-Thr". It matches the Rfam family "tRNA". From Rfam's summary of the family: Transfer RNA (tRNA) molecules are approximately 80 nucleotides in length. The record is from RNAcentral. Lineage: Archaea; Thermoproteati; Nitrososphaerota; Nitrososphaeria.
GCCCUGGUAGCUCAGCCUGGUAGAGCGUCGCCUUGGUAAGGCGGAGGUCGCGGGUUCAAAACCCGCCUAGGGCU